RNAcentral lists this ribosomal RNA (1982 nucleotides) under human gut metagenome. RNAcentral describes it as "bacterial LSU rRNA". It matches the Rfam family "Bacterial large subunit ribosomal RNA", at positions 493 to 2494 of the family's 2925-position model. The record is from RNAcentral.
AACCAGUACCGUGAGGGAAAGGUGAAAAGCACUUCGAACAGAAGAGUGAAAUAGUCCCUGAACCCAUACGCCUACAAGCAGUCGGAGCCGCUUCGUGCGGUGACGGCGUGCCUUUUGCAUAAUGAGCCUACGAGUUACUCAUCACCAGCGAGGUUAAGUACUUCAGGUACGUAAGCCGAAGCGAAAGCGAGUCUGAAUAGGGCGUCAAGUUGGUGGUGGUAGACGCGAAACCUUAGUGAUCUACCCAUGGGCAGGGUGAAGGUUUGGUAACACAAACUGGAGGCCCGAACCGGUAAACGUUGAAAAGUUUUCGGAUGACCUGUGGGUAGGGGUGAAAGGCCAAUCAAACUGGGAAAUAGCUCGUACUCUCCGAAAUGCAUUUCGGUGCAGCCUGUGAUGUUCUGUUCCAGAGGUAGAGCUACUGGUUGGACGCGAGGGCUUCACCGCCUAUCAAAUCCGGAUAAACUCCGAAUGCUGGAACACGAAAUCAUGGAGUGAGCCCGCGGGUGCUAAGGUCCGCGGACGAGAGGGAAAGAACCCGGACCACCGGCUAAGGUCCCGGAUGGACAGUUAAGUUGAUCAAACGAGGUGGGAUCGCGGAGACAGCUAGGAUGUUGGCUUGGAAGCAGCCAUUCAUUUAAAGAGUGCGUAACAGCUCACUAGUCGAGGAGUCCGGCGUGGAUAAUACUCGGGCAUAAACUGUUUACCGAAGCUAUGGAUGUAGAAAUACAUGGUAGGGGAGCAUUCCAACGGCGUCGAAGGUGAAGGAUGACCUUUGCUGGAGCUUUUGGAAACGCAAAUGUAGGUAUAAGUAACGAUAAAGGAGGUGAGAAACCUCCUCGCCGAAAGACUAAGGUUUCCUGAUCAACGUUAAUCGGAUCAGGGUAAGUCGGGACCUAAGGUUAAGCCGAACGGCGAUACCGAUGGAAGAAUGGUUUAAUAUUCCCAUACUACUUUAUGGAGCGAUGUGGAGACGGAGAAGUGAAAGUCCUGCCAUCUGACGGAAUAGGUGGUUGAAGAGUGUAGAUGUAGAUUCCUGUAGGCAAAUCCGCAGGGAGAGUCGACCUUGACAGUAUGCCGCGUGCUUGCACAAGGCAAAAUGGACGUAAUCAGGCUCCCAAGAAAAUCCGCUAAGCAUAUUCAUAAAGUACCCGUACCGUAAACGGACACACGUAGUUGGGUUGAAAAUACUGAGGCGCUCGAGUGAUUCACGGUUAAGGAACUAGGCAAAUUGACCCUGUAACUUCGGGAUAAAGGGUCCCAACGAGAGUUGGGCGCAGAGAAUAGGUCCAGGCAACUGUUUAACAAAAACACAGGGCUGUGCCAAAUUGAAAGAUUACGUAUACAGCCUGACACCUGCCCGGUGCUGGAAGGUUAAGAGGAGAUGUCAUCGCAAGAGAAGCAUUGAAUUGAAGCCCCAGUAAACGGCGGCCGUAACUAUAACGGUCCUAAGGUAGCGAAAUUCCUUGUCGGGUAAGUUCCGACCUGCACGAAUGGUGUAAUGAUCUGGACGCUGUCUCAACCGUGAGCUCAGUGAAAUUGUAGUAUCGGUGAAGAUGCCGAUUACCCGCGAUGGGACGAAAAGACCCCGUGAACCUUUACUAUAGCUUAACAUUGAAUUUGGGUAAUUGAUGUGUAGGAUAGGCCGGAGACUUUGAAGCAGGUACGCCAGUAUUUGUGGAGUCGCUGUUGAAAUACGGCCCUUUGAUUAUUUGAGUUCUAACUCGUUGUCACGAGGACACUGUUUGGUGGGUAGUUUGACUGGGGUGGUCGCCUCCAAAAGUGUAACGGAGGCUUCUAAAGGUGCCCUCAGGACGAUUGGUAACCGUCCGCAGAGUGUAAUGGCAUAAGGGCGCUUGACUGGGAGACAUACAAGUCGAUCAGGUAGGAAACUAGAGCAUAGUGAUCCGGUGUUUCCGCAUGGAAGGGACAUCGCUCAAAGGAUAAAAGGUACUCCGGGGAUAACAGGCUGAUCCCUCCCA